RNAcentral lists this long non-coding RNA (11704 nucleotides) under Homo sapiens (human). RNAcentral describes it as "HSALNT0370808". Lineage: Eukaryota; Metazoa; Chordata; Mammalia; Primates; Hominidae. The record is from RNAcentral.
AUGCAACCUGCUCCCUGUGGCUGCCGAGUUCUCGGGAACAGCGGCUCGGCCUGCAAGGCUGUUGUUUCAAGAAAUGAAAAUGAAGGGCGCCCUGGAAUAGGUUCGCCGAAGAGAGAGGUUCGUGUCUCAGAAAGUGUCGCUGGGAAAAAAAAAUGCAAUUGAAUUCGCCUUGGUUGCGUUUUGGUUUUCUUAAUUUUUUGCAUGAUUCUUUGCUCCACUUUCCAAAUUCAGCAACAUGGCCUGUCGCGGUGGCUCAUGCCUGUAUUCCCAGCACUUUGGGAGGCCAAAGCAGGAAGAUCGCUUGAGCCCAGGAGUUUGAGACCAUCCUGGACAAGGUAGCAAGACCCCGUCUUUACAGAAAACUUAAAAAAAAAGAAAAAAAGAAAAAAGCCAGACACAGUGGUGCAUGCUUGUAGUCCUAGCUACUCCGGAGGCUGGGGCGGGAGGAUCACUUUUUUUUUUUUUUUUUUUUGAGACGGAGUCUCUCUGUGUUGACCAGGCUGGAGUGCAGUGGCGUGAUCUCGGCUCACUGCAAGCUGCGCCUCCCGGGUUCACGCCAUUCUCCUGCUUCAGCCUCCCGAGUAGCUGUGACUACAGGCGCCCGCCACCACGCCCGGCUAAUUUUUUGUAUUUUUAGUAGAGACGGGAUUUCACCGUGUUAGCCACGAUGAUCUUGAUCUCCUGACCUCGGCCUCUCAAAGUGCUGGGAUUACAGGCGUGAACCACCACGCCCGGCCGAUCACUUCUUGAAUCUAGGAGUUUGAGGCCGCGGUGAGCUACGAUCUUGCCACUGCACUCCUGUCUGCGCUUCAGAGCCAGAUCCCAUCUUCUCAUACACACACACACACACACACACACACACACACACACACACAGCAAAUUCAGAAACAGUAAGGCCUUGCUUUUCUCCUGCACUUUAAAACGAGCCAGAUUCUCUGUAUUUUCGCACGUGAUCACUUGUCAUAGUAAUUGCCUGGUGAGAGCACCUGAGUGAACUUUUGAGCAUUUAAAUAUAUGGGGAAAUGUAUUUGUCCGUUUUCUCCACACACAAAAUUCGUCCUCACAAAAUUCCUGAGAAAUGUUUGGGUUUUGGUUUUUUAUGUUUGUUUUUUGAAAAACAAUUUUAAACCAUAUUUAUUCAUACCAAAACUGCUCUUACUGUGACCACAAGCUGCUUGCUUUUUGCUGAAUAUGAUAAGCACUAUUUUUUUUUUUUUUUUUUGAGACGGAGUCUUGCUCUGUCGCCCAGGCUGGAGUGCAGUGGCGUGAUCUCAGCUCACUGCAACCUCUGCCUCCCGGGUUCAAGCAAUUCUCCUGUCUCAGCCUCCCGAGUAGCUGGGAUUACAGGCAGGCGGCACCGCGCCCAGCUAAUUUUUGUAUUUUUAGUAGAGACAGAGUUUCACCAUGUUGGCCAGGCUGGUCUCGAACUCCUGACCUCAUGAUUCGCCUGCCUCAGCCUCCCAAACUGCUGGGAUUACAGGCAAUAAGCCACCGCGCCCAGCCAAUAAGCACUAUUUAACAGUUCUUAUCUGUUUUGACUCUUGACAUUGAUAAUUCCUCCCAUGGAAUAAAAAGUUGUCUCUUGAUUUACAUUCUUACUAGGAAAUAAUACGAGUUCAUUGUAGAAAAUCAAAGAAAAAAACCCAAAGAAGUAGAAAUCCCCUUCUAUCCCACUACUUUGUUAUAAACGUCAGUAAUCAUUUAGGGUAUAUCUUUCCUAUUUAAAAAUAAUAUGAGUAUAGAUGAUUUUGUUGUUUAUUCACCAAAAGAUUGCAUUAUAUCCUACCAUUAUAAAAUAGUCAUAUCAAAAAUAGGUCGUCAGGCCAGGUGCGGUUGCUGAGGCCUCUAAUCCUAGCACUUUGGGAGGCUGAGGCAGGAGGAUCACUUGAGUCCAGGAGUUUGAGACCAGCCGGGACAACAUGGUGAAACCCCAUCUCUACAACAAAAUACAAAAAUUAGCCCGGUAUGGAGGGAUGUGCCGGUAGUCACAGCUACUACCAAGGCUGAGGCAGGAGGAUCACUUGAGCCUGGGAGUUUGAGGCUGCAGUGAGCCGUGAUUGUGCCACUGCACUCCAGCCUGGGCGACAGAGUGAGACCCUAUCUCUACAAAAAUAAAGCAAAAUAAAAAAAGUCUUCAACAUUUUAAUGACUUCUCUAGAUGCACCAUCAUUUAUUCAACAAGCCUCUUGAUGUACUCUGUUUUGUUCAUUGUUUUCCUUUUACAAAUAUCACUGAAAUGAACUUCCUUAUACAUAUAUCUUUAAAAACUUGAAAGACUGUUUUUGGAAAAUUUUAUUACAUGGGAACUUUUAUUAAUUAGGUCAAAAAAUACACACUUUAUUUUUUGUUUGUUUUGAGACAGUCUUGCUCUGUCGCCGAGGCUGGGAUGCAGUGGCACAACAUGGUGAAACCUGUCUCUACUAAAAAUAUAAAAAUUAGCCAGGCGUGGCCGGGCGCGGUGGCUCAUGCCUGUAAUCCCAGCACUUUGGGAGGCCGAGGCGGGCGGAUCACGAGGUCAGGAGAUCGAGACCAUCCUGGCUAACACGGUGAAAACCCGUCUCCACUAAAAACAUACAAAAAAAUUAGCUGGGCGUGGUGGCGGGCACCUGUGGUCCCAGCUGCUACUCAGGAGGCUGAGGCAGAAGAAUGGCAUGAACCUGGGAGGCCGAGCUUGCAGUGAGCCGAGAUCGCGCCACUGCACUCCAAGCCUGGGUGACAGACCGAGACUCCGUCUCAAAAAUAAAAUUAAAAUAAAAUAAAAUAAAAUAAAAUAAAAUAAUAAAAUAAAAUAGCCAGGCGUGAUGGCACACACCUGUAAUCCCAGCUACUAGGAAGGCUGAGGCAGGAGAAUUGCUUGAACCUGGGAGGCGGAGGUUGUAGUGAGCCCGAGAUUGUGCCACUGCACUCCAGCCUGGACGACAGAGUGAGAUUCCAUCUCAAAAAAAAAGAAAAAAGAAAGAAAUAUUUACAAUAUAUUCUCUGAAGCCUGCUACUUGGAGGCUUUUUUUUGGGGGGGAUACUCCACAACCCCUUAUCAUAACCCAGACAUUCCUUUCUAUUGAUAGUAACUCUUUUAACCAAUUGUGAAUCAGAAAAUUUUAAAAUCUACCUAUAACCUGAAAGCCCUCCCACUUCAAGUUAUCCUACCUUUCUAAACCAAGGUUUUGUUUUUUUGUUUUGUUUUGUUUUGUUUUGUUUUGUUUUGUGUUUGAGACAGGGUCUCGCUCUGUCACCCAGGCUGGAGUGCAGUGGUGCAAUCACGGCUCACUGCAGCCUCAACUUCCCGGCUCCAGCGGUCCUCCCACCUCCCGCAGGUGUGUGCCACCAUGCCUGGCUACGUUUUGUAUUUUUAGUAGAGACAGGGUUUUGCCACGUUGCCCAGGCUGGUCUCGAACUCCUGAGCUCAAGUGAUCCACUGGCCUCAGCCUCCCAAAGUGCUAGGAUUACAGAUGUGAGCCACCACAGCUGGCCCCAAUAUAUAUCUUAUAUGUAUUUAAUUGCUGUCUCAUGUCUCCCUGCAAUGUAUAAAACCCAGCUGUGUCCAACCACCUUGCACACAUUUUCCCUGGGUCUCCUGAGGGCUGGGUCAUAGGCCAUGGUCACUCAUAUUUGACUCAGAAUGAAUCUCUUCAAAUGUUUUACAAAGUUUGACUCUUUUCAUUGAUGCUAUUUAUUCUGCCGUCUGCUUGUAUUUCUGCCACGUGUGCCUCUUCUAGGCCAGAAGCUUGGGCAGGUGCUGGUUGAGGGUAGACUCAAAUGAACCAGCCUGGAAAACCACCAGUUGUUUUUGUUUGUUGAGUGAGGACCAGGAAAUUCACUGAUGUGGUUAUUUAGUGAAAUGGCUUCAUGCCAAUUUCACUCAUUGUGCUUCUGCAAGAGAAACUGUUUAAUGAGGGAAUUUGGGGCCAGGGGCGGUGGCUCAUGCCUGUAAUCCCAGCACUCUGGGAGGCCGAGGCGGGUGGUUCACCUGAGGUCAGGAGUUGGAGAACAGGCUGGCCAACAUGGUGAAAUCCCUGUCUCUGUGAAAAAUACAAAAAUUACCCGGGCGUGGUGGUGAGCGCCUGGGAUAAUCCAAGCUACUCAGGAGGCUGAGGCAGGAGCAUCGCUUGAACCCGGGAGGCGGAGGUUGCAGUGAGCCAAGAUCGUGCCACUGCACUCCAGGCUGGGCGACACAGCAAGACUCCGUCUCAAAAAACAACAAAACAAAACAAAAAUAAUAAUGAGGGAAUUUUGGACAAAAACAAAGUUCUGUCCUUAGCUCGAGUUCAGAAACUGUUGUGGCCAUGCCAGUGACUUGGAACUGCCACUCCAGGGGACCGAGGUGCUGGCUGCUGGCCAAGGAUAUGCACUGAGACACUGUUGUGAGAAUUAACCAUUAACAGGUCGCCGGGAUUCCGUUUGUCACAUUUUUCCUAUUGAGACUUUUUUUUUCCCUUUUCUCUUUGAGAAUUUCAAAGCAUUUAAAAAUACCCUCUAUGUCCGGGCGCGGUGGCUCACGCCUGUAAUCCCAGCACUUUGGAAGGCUGAGGCUGGUGGAUCACGAGGUUAGGAGAUCGAGACCAUCCUGGCUAACACGGUGAAACCCCGUCUCUACUAAAAAUACAAACAACUUAGCCGGGCGUGGUGGCGGGCACCUGUAGUCCCAGCUACUCGGGAGGCUGAGGCAGGAGAAUAGCGUGAACCCGGGAGGCGGAGCUUACAAUGAGCCGAGAUCGCGCCACUGCACUCCAGCCUGGGUGAUAGAGGGAGACUCUGUCUCAAAAAAAAAAAAAAAAAAAAAAAAUACCCUCUAUGUUCUCACUUAAUCUCCGACAGUCCUUGGUUGAUGCAGACGACCACACAUCCAAAAGGAAACCAGGUAUGUCAAAUCAUGCGUAAACUCGGGAAAGCCUCAUCAUGCAGACUUUAGCAAUGUUAAAUUAGUGAUCAUUCAGGCCAGGCGCAGUGGCUCACCCCUGUAAUCCCAGCACUUUGGGAGGCCGAGGCGGGCAGAUCGCUUGAGGCCAGAAGUUCAAGACCGGCCUGGCCAACAUGGUGAAAUCCCGUCUCCACUAAAAAUACAAAAAUUAGCCAGUCGUGGUGGUGGGCACCUGUAAUCCCAGCUACUCGGGAGGCUGAGGCAGGAGAAUGGCGUGAACCCAGGAGGUGGAGGUUGCAGUGAGCCAAGAUCGCGCCACUGCACUCCAGCCUGGGUGACAGAGUGAGACCCUCUCUCAAAAAAAAUAAAAUUAGUGAUCAUUCAAACCAGAAUCAUGACAAUCUUUGUGAAGAAUGGCUUGCUUUGUGUCUUAAACAAGACAAGCUGCAGAAUACCUGCCAUGCCCACAGCCCCUAGGACAUCCUCAGGGGCCCUUCCACUGACACCCCUCCCACCUUCAUCCAAUUCAAAGGCUUCUCAAACCACCUAUGAAAUGGCCUGACUCAACAGCAUGACCUGGACCAAUCAGAGUUGACUAUUUUUGUUUGUUUGUUUUGUUUUUUGAGACACAGUUUCAUUCUUGUUGCCCAGGCUGGAGUGCAAUGGCACAAUCUCGGCGCACCACAACCUCCGCCUCCCGGGUUCAAGCGAUUCUCCUGCCUUAGCCUCCCAAGCAGCUGGGAUUACAGGCAUGCACCACCAUGCCCGGCUAAUUUUGUAUUUUUAGUAGAGAUGAGGUUUCUCCAUGUUGGUCAGGCUGGUCUCGAACUCCCGACCUCAGGUGAUCCGUUCACCUCGGCCUCCUAAAGUGCUGGGAUUACAGGCAUGAACCACUGCGCCCGGCCACUUAUUUUUUUUAAAAUCACAGUUUAUCCUUUUAUCUGUUGAUGAACUUUGGGCUGUUUCCAGUUUUUUUACUACUAUGAAUAAACUCCUGUAAACAUUCUAGUAUAUCUUUUUGUGGACAUGUAUCUUAAUUUCUCUUGGGUAAAUAUCCAGGAGUAGGAUUACUGGAUUAUAUGGUGUUUAAUUUUGUAAGAAACUGUCAAACAUUUCUCCAAAGUGGGUGUACCUUUUUUUUAAGCUUUAUUUAUUUAUUUUUAUUAUACUUUAAGUUCUAAGGUACAUGUGCACAAUGUGCAGGUUUAUUACAUAUGUAUACAUGUGUCAUGUUGGUGUGCUGCACCCAUUAACUCAUCAUUUACAUUAGGUAUUUCGCCUAAUGCUAUCCCUCCCCCAACCCCACGACAGGCCCCAGUGUGUGAUAUUCCCCACCCUGUGUCCAAGUGUUCUCAUUGUUCAAUUCCCACCUAUGAGUGAGAACAUUCGGUGUUUGGUUUUCUGUCCUUCGACAGUUUGCUCAGAAUGAUGGUUUCCAGCUUCAUCCCAAAGGACAUGAACUCAUGCUUUUUUAUGGCUGCAUAGUAUUCCAUGGUGUAUAUGUGCCACAUUUUCUUAAUCCAGUUUAUCAUUGAUGGCCAUUUGGGUUGGUUCCAAGUCUUUGCUAUUGUGAAUAGUGCCGCAAUAAACAUACAUGUGCAUGUGUCUUUAUACUGGCAUGAUUUAUAAUCCUUUGGGUAUAUACCCAGUAAUGGGAUCGCUGGGUCAAAUGGUAUUUCUAGUUCUAGAUCCUUGAGGAAUCGCCACACUGUCUUCCACAAUGGUUGAACCAACGGUGUAAAAGUGUUCCUAUUUUUCCACAUCCUCUCCAGCACCUGUUGUUUCCUGACUUUUUAAUGAUCGCCAUUCUAACUGGUGUGAGAUGGUAUCUCAUUGUGGUUUUGAUUUGCAUUUCUCUGAUGGCCAGUGAUGAUGAGCAUUUUUUCAUGUGUCUGUUGGUUGCAUAGAUGUCUUCUUUUGAGAAGUGUCUGUUCAUAUCUUUUGCCCACUUUUUGAUGGGGUUGUUUGAUUUGUUUUGUAAAUUUGUUUAAGUUCUUUGUAGAUUCUGGAUAUUAGCCCUUUGUCAGAUGGGUAGAUGGCAAAAAUUUUCUCCCAUUCUGUAGGUUGCCUGUUCACUCUGAUGGUAGUUUCUUUUGCUGUGCAGAAGCUCUUUAAUUAGAUCCCAUUUUUCUAUUUUGGCUUUUGUUGCCAUUGCUUUUGGUGUUUUAGACAUGAAGUCCUUGCCCAUGCCUAUGUCCUGAAUGGUAUUGCCUAAGUUUUCUUCUAGGGUUUUUAUGGUUUUAGGUCUAACAUUUAAGUCUUUAAUCCAUCUUGAAUUAAUUUUUGUAUGAGGUGUAAGGAAGGGAUCCAGUUUCAGCUUUCUACAUAUGGUUAGCCAGUUUUCCCAGCACCAUUUAUUAAAUAGGAAAUCCUUUCCCCAUUUCUUGUUUUUGAUAGGUUUGUCAAAGAUCAGAUGGUUGUAGAUGUGUGGUGUUAUUUCUGAGGGCUCUGUUCUGUUCCAUUGGUCUAUAUCUCUGUUUUGGUACCAGUACCAUGCUGUUUUGGUUACUGUAGCCUUGUAGUAUAGUUUGAAGUCAGGUAGCGUGAUGCCUCCAGCUUUGUUCUUUUUGCUUAAGAUUGUCUUGGCAAUGCAGGCUCUUUUUUGGUUCCAUAUGAACUUUAAAGUAGUUUUUUCCAAUUCUGUGAAGAAAGUCAUUGGUAGCUUGAUGUGGAUGGCAUUGUCAGAUUCGACUUUUUAAUCAGCACUAGUGCCUAAGGAGAAACAGCUGUUGUGAAUGGUAGGAGCUAAUAUAGAAUGGAGGUGAUACUUAGAGACUACAGAGGGGCCAUCAAAAGCUUUGUAGGGCCGGGCAUGGUGGCUCACACCUGUAAUCCCAGCUCUUUGUAAGGCCAAGGUAGGAGGAUCGCUUGAGCUCUGGAGUUUGAGACCAGCCUGAGCAACAUAGUGAGACCCUGUCUCUACACAAAAUACAAAAAAAAAUUAGCUGGGCCUAGUAGCAUGGGCCUGUAGUCCCAGCCCCACAAGGCUCUUAAUGGUCUCACAUUCCUGAGCUCAAGUGAUCUCCUGCCUUGGCCUCUCAAAGUGCUGGCAUUGCAGGCAUGAGCCACUGCGCCUGGACAAACUGGUAUUUUAAAAGAAGAAGGCCAGGUGCAGUGGCUCAUGCCUGUAACCUCAGCACUUUGGGAGGCUGAGACGGGUGGAUCACCCGAGGUCAGGAGUUUGAGACCAGCUUGGUCAUCAUGGUGAAACCCUGUCUACUAAAAAUACAAAAAUUAGCCAGGCCCGGUGGUGGGCACGUGUAAUCCCAGCUAUUUUGGAGGCUGAGUCAGGAGAACUGCUUGAACCCGGGAAGCGGAGGUUGCAGUGAGCUGGUAUCGCACCACUGCACUCCAGCCUGGGCAACAAGAGCGAGACUCAGUCUCAAAAAAUAAAAAAAUAAAAAGAAGAAGAAGAAGAAGAAAAGUAAUUUGUUCAUGUACUGAGAUGCUGGUGGGUGAUUGGCUUCAGGAGUGUCUGGAUCCAGGGACUUACCUAAUACCUUAGGUAUCUGUCUCCCUCCUGUGUUUCCACCUGUGGGGUGGUUUCAAUUUCAAGUAGACUCCUCCUUCAUGUUUCCAGAUAACCAUUCUGGUAGACAGUUUCUAAGAUGGACCCAGUGAACCCCACGUCCUGGUAUUCAUGGCCCCGUGUGCUCCCCUCCCCUUGAGUAACUUGCUUCUAAUCAAUAACAUAACAUGUAAACGGGAUGUCACUUCUGAUUAAGUUAUGUAAGGCUGGGUCAGGUGCAGCAGCUCACGCCUAUAAUCCUAGCACUUUGGGAAGCCGAGGCAGGAGGAUUGCUUAAGCCCAGGAGCUCAAGACCAGCCUGGGCAACAUGGUAAGACCCCCAUCUCCCCCAAAAAUUAAAAAAUUAGCCAGGUGUGGUGGCACACCUGUAGUCCCAACUACUGAGGAGGCUGAGGCUGGAGGAUGGCUUGAGCCUAAGAGUUCAGGGCUACAGUGAACCAUCAUCACACCACUGCGCCCCAGCCUGGGCGACAGAGCAAGACCCUAUCUCAAACAACAUAUGACGUGCGGACAGGAUGUCACUUCCGAUUCCGUUGUAUAAGGCUGUGGUGGGCUGGGCGCGGUGGCUCACGCCUGUAAUCCCACCACUUUGGGAGGCCGAGGCGGGCAGAUCACGAGGUCAGGAGAUGGAGACCAUCGUGGCUAACACGGUGAAACCCCGUCUCUACUAAAAAUACAAACAAUUAGCCGGGCGUGGUAGCGGGCGCCUGUAGUCCCAGCUACUCGGGAGGCUGAGGCAGGAGAAUGGCGUGAACCCGGGAGGCGGAGCUUGCAGUGAGCCGAGAUCGCGCCACUGCAGUCCAGCCUGGGCGACAGAGCAAGACUCCGUCUCAAAAAAAAAAAAAUAAAUAAAUAAAUACAUAAAUAAGGCUGUGGCUUCCAUCUUGCUAGCACGCGCUCUCCAUUACUUUCUCAGCUUGCAGGCCUCUGGGAAGCAAGCCAUCGUGUGGCAGAGGCCCAGGUGGCAAGGAACCAAGGGCGGCUUCUGGCCAACAGCCAGCGAGGACCUGAGACCGUAGCCCAACACCCCUCCAGGAACUGAAUUUUGCCAGCAACCAGUGAGUGACCUUGGAAGUGGAUCCUUCCCCCGAAAGCCCGGCUUUCAGGUGAAGGUUAUUCGUUGAACCAAUAAUCUCUGAAAUUUUUGGAGUUCCAUGAAGCUUGCACCAACUAUUAUCCCUGAGAUGACCUUGGCUGUGGAACCCAGAUUCUGUUCAGGGCCGAGAGCGCCACCUGGUGAUUCCAGUUUGUAAGUGAGUCACCCCGCCCCCCCGCCCCACUUCCUGGGCCAGACUGACCCAGUUUAGAAUUCCAGUUUAGACCAGCAGGAUUGGCUUUUUUGUUUUGUUGGGGCUCAGAAAUGGAGGCUUUGAUACGCUGAACUGAAGAAGGAUCUCUCUGAUAUUCCCUCCCAUCCAAAAGCACAGGAAGUUCCUUUAUCCACCUAAAAUCCAGACCCCCCAAUUAGAAACAAUUGUUCUUUCUUUCCCUCUCUGUUAUCUCUUUAUUGCAGAAAGGAAGACACAGAAGGUAACCACACCUGAACAGAUCCUUUCAUAAGAUAAUGUCAGGCUCAUUCACAUUUCAAAGACAUCUAUUUACAAGUUAAUUUCUCUUCUAGUUCCUGACCCAUUCAUUUCCCUAGUAAUCCUUUAUUUCCCCCAAAUUCCUUUUUUCCCUCCAAUAACCCGUUUUGCCAGGAUGGAAGCCCCUGUCUUUCUGUAAUCUCAAAAUGAUAUUUAAUGUUUCACACUCCCUUGAGGUGUGGGUAAUUCCUCUGUAGUUUCCCCUCUUGUUCACGUUAAUAAAUCUAGAUGCCUUUUCUCCAAUUAAUCUGCCUUUUGUUGAGUUGAUCUUUCUUUCUUUUUAUUUAUUUAUUUAUUUUUAACCUAAAGCUGGCAUCUGGUUCCAGGCUUCUUUCCUCAAAAAAUUUCUAACUAGGAUUUCUUUUCUUCUCUUCUCUUUUUUUUUUUUUUUUUUUGAGAUGGCGUCUAGCUCUGUCACCCAGGCUGGAGUGCAGUAGCACAAUCUCGGCUGACUGCAACCUCGGUCUCCUGGGUUCAAGCGAUUCUCCUGCCUCAGCCUCCCAAGUAGCUGGGAAUACAGGCGUGUACCGCCAUGCCCAGCUAAUUUUUAUAUUUUUAGUAGAGACGGGGUUUCACCAUGUUGGCCAGGCUGGUCUCCUGACCUCAAGUGAUCCGCCCACCUCGGCCUCCCAAAGCGCUGUGAUUACAGGCAUGAGCCAACGCGCCUGGUCUGUAACAAGAAUUCCUAUACAUCUCUGAAAUGCAUGCAUAUCAAAACUCAUUGUGCAAACCCUGGCUGACAUUAAGGGACCAAAAUGUCUACAAAUGUAAUCACGUAUCGUGGCCUACACAGCUAAUAUGGUCCAAAUUACCCUUAAGCUCCUGCUUUAAGGUCCAUAAAUACCUGGAAGGAAAAUUCACCGCAGGGCACUCAGUCCUCUCAUGCUGAGGAGUCCCGCAGCGCUUUUAUGCAGUGUUCUUUCUAAUAUAUUUUUUUCUUUUUCAAACCUAUGCUGACAUCAGUAAAUUCUUUGUACUAACCUACGACCUGCGAGCCCACCACUUGCCAGUGCCGGGCCCUGACAUCUCGUCCAGCAGAGACGGUCUUGUUCUGUUGCCCAGCUAGAGGGCAGUGGUGUGAUCAUAGCUCACUGCAGCCUCGAAUUCCUGGGCUCAAGUGAUCCUCCCACCUUAGCCUCCUGAAUAGCUGGGACCACAGGAACGCACCACCACACCCAGCUAAUUUUAUAAUUUAUUGUAAAGAUGGGUCUAACCAUGUUGCCCAGGCUUAUCAGAAAGUUCUUAAUCUCCGUAACCCCCAACUCCAGUUUAAGAACAACUACUGGCCACACAUGGUGACAUGCCUGUAAACCCAGCACUUUGGGAGGCUGAGGCGGGUGGAUCACCUGAGGUCAGGAGUUCGAGACCAGCCUGGCCAACAUGGUAUAACCCUGUCUCUACUAAAAAUACAAAAAUUAGCCGGGCAUGGUGGCACACGCCUGUAAUCUCAGCUACUCGGGAGGCUGAGGCAGGAGAAUCGCUUGAACCCAGGAGGCAGAGGUUUCAGUGAGCCAAGAUCGUGCCAUUGCACUCCAGCCUGGGAUACAGAGUGAGACUCCUUCUAAAAAAAAAAAAGAAGGUGCCGGGCGCGGUGGCUUACGCCUGUAAUCCCAGCACUUUGGGAGGCCGAGGUGGGCGGAUCACGAGGUCAGGAGAUCGAGACCAUCCUGGCUAACCCGGUGAAACCCCGUCUCUACUAAAAAUACAAAAAAAUUAGCCAGGUGUGGUGGC